UAACCUUUUAGGAGCCAGCCGCCGAAGGUGGGACAGAUGAUUGGGGUGAAGUCGUAACAAGGUAGCCGUAUCGGAAGGUGCGGCUGGAUCACCUCCUUUCUAAGGA
This 106-nucleotide ribosomal RNA is filed under the name Bacillus subtilis. Its description in RNAcentral is "partial 16S ribosomal RNA". It matches the Rfam family "Bacterial small subunit ribosomal RNA", at positions 1436 to 1533 of the family's 1533-position model. RNAcentral also lists the same sequence under 1 other name. The record is from RNAcentral. Lineage: Bacteria; Bacillati; Bacillota; Bacilli; Caryophanales; Bacillaceae.